RNAcentral lists this long non-coding RNA (1171 nucleotides) under Coffea arabica (coffee). RNAcentral's name for it is "long non-coding RNA (CARA_LNC003312)". The record is from RNAcentral. Lineage: Eukaryota; Viridiplantae; Streptophyta; Magnoliopsida; Gentianales; Rubiaceae.
UUCUUUUCACUUCCUCCGCUCCUCAGAUUCUCCAAUCUCCAGUUCUCCUCUUGAUUUUUUUUCUUAAUUUUUCUUCAUAAUCCUUCCACUUCCUAAUACCCACGACAAGAUCAUCACACUAUUAUCUUUAGACAAGACUCCAGAGCAUUUCCAUCUUGUGAGUUUAAUUUUUGCCUUUUCUUGAUUUUUGUUUUCUAUAUUAUGUUUAGUUGAUUUUUGCCUUUUCUUGAUUUAUGUUUUCUAUGUAGAGAUUAGAGCACUUAUUUAGUUUUUGUGACAAUACAUCAUGACAUUUGUUCCGUCCAUAAAUAUUUGCCGUAACUUGUGUAUAUGUCCUGAUUUAAUUUAUAGUUAAAUAAAAAAUCUUGCCUAAAGAUAACCAAAAGGAUCAUGCCUAACAACAAAGUAUUUUUCGUUUGAAUAGUGGAACAGGAAUAAUAGGAAUUGGAAAAUAUCUAGUACUACAUUGUUCAUUUGCUUUCCUCUCGUACUACGAUGAAAUGCUUACUAGACAAUAAUUUGAAAUGUGCAAUAAGAUGUUUUUGAUUAACCAUUUUAAUUAUAUCCAAAAUAGAGAAUUAUUAGCCAAAAUUUAUUUGCUUGCAUCAUCAUUACAAUUUCCAACACACCUUUUUAUCUUCCCAAUUACCUUUUUAUCUCACAUACAUCACAUCACAAAAAGUGCUACAGUAAAAAUAUCUCAAAUAAUUUACAAUCCAAACAGCAGUUGAUUCUUUUUUUGUUUGGUUGUAUCUUUGUUUUUCAAAAUUUUUUGGCUUUUUUUUUAGUUUCACCAAUUAGAUUUAUAUUUUUUAUAAUAAACUUUUUAAUUUUUUCAGGUUAAAUUGAUGAAAUUGUGAAGUGGGUGCUGUUGCCUUGUCAUGCCAAUGAUGGAAGUUUGUUAUUCAAAUUAUUUGCCUUGACUAUGAGUUGGACUUUUCUAUGAACUUUUUUUUGAAUUGUGGAAGAACGUCAACAUUUAUUUUAUUUAUUUUUGUGUUUUUGUUUGUUUAUAAUUGAUGAACAUUUGGACUAUAUCUAUUUAUGUUUGUAAUGAAUUAUGAAAAUUUGCGAUGAAUUAUGAUAUUUUAGUUAUAUUUAUCAUUCCAGGUUUUAUGUAUAACUUUUAAAAAUUUUAUUAUUAUCUCAACUUAAAUUUAAUUUUAAGUUA